Long non-coding RNA from Hemicordylus capensis (graceful crag lizard), 588 nucleotides. RefSeq lists it as uncharacterized. Lineage: Eukaryota; Metazoa; Chordata; Lepidosauria; Squamata; Cordylidae. The record is from RefSeq and is a predicted model, not a curated record. The transcript is spliced from 2 exons.
CGAGUAGGGCCCAAGCAAGCCAGGAAGGAGGAGGCAGCCAGAGUGUUCUCGGCAGCAGAAGACCCCUUGCUGCCCUGCUUAACCCAGACCAGCAUUUGCCAGGAACAUAUACACUUCCAUGUACUUAAAAGCCCCCUCCCCAAAGUAAAAACCACUACUUUGUUUUUGGGUGGCCCUGCUUAACAUCCAAACGGAUAGACCUUCAACCACUGGAGUUUGCCAUCUGCUCUGAAAGGACCUAUGCUUUCAUCCAUUUGUGAUUUGUGGGAAAUGAAUCUUUUUUCUGGCAGAGGCAGACUGCUCUACCAGAAGAGGAAUGGAUUGUUUCUAUGGAUGACUGUGGUUUUGCCUGUGGGGAAGUGAAUCUUUUUUUGUGGAUGGCCCAUUUGCCAGAGGGGAAAAGAUACCUCCUGUUUUUUGACCGGCUUAAAAAUGAUCAGUUUCCCCAUUAUUCUUAGUCCAUUUGGCUAUGCAUUGAGUCUGUCUUUUUAUUCAGAUGUUUUAAAUAUUUGCGGUUGUGGUUUCUCUGUUCUGCUUAGGUACUUUAUAAAAUUCACCUAAUAAAUUGAUUAAAUACUCAUAAAACAU